UUAUGUUUUAGUAAAGACCUAUGUCAAAGAAAGCUUCAUUGACAAGGCAGUCCUGUAAAAUGAACAAGAAAUACCCUCUACUUGCAAAACAUGCGGGUCCUAAAUUAGAACCGAUCCCAAAAAGAAACAAUGAGCGAGAAGGAGCGGAGUAACAGACGAGGCGGGCUGAAUAGAGACCAGCCAGAACAAUAGCUGCACCUGGUGUUAGGAGCCGAGAAACAGAGCGGGCACGCGUCAACAGCAGAGGGCACAUCUGUUACCCUCACAAUGGCCCAGCCCCCCACUUCUCCAGCAUGGAGCAUCUUGGUGCCCUGGGACACGGAAGAAGGAAGCCAAAAAUGCACGACAAGAGUUGCAGCUGGGGAUCUUUAUUGUAAAUUAACCCAAACAAACUUGGGUUGCACAAGGAAUCCUGGCUAAAGCCACUCUAAAAAUGAAAUCAGCGAGUGGAUCUGAAGUUCCCCGCGUGAGGCUGCACCGCCCCACGUCUGCGGUUCUUACACGCAAGCGGAGACCGAGACGUUUGCAAAACCCGUCGGCUUUUCCAGUCCUGAGAAGGGAUACAGAAGUCAAGUUCCUGUACGGUGGCAAGAUUCUUCUGAAGGACUCUCUGACUGAAAACCAAACCUCUCGAAAAUGACCGAAUAUCAUCUCGAGAAUCACCCUGUGGCAGGAUCGCACAAAUCGAAUCCCGAAUUAACAGCACGAGAAUUUUUGAAAGAUAAAAAGAAACUGCAUUUAAUUCAGACCCCAAAGUAACCCUUACCGAAGCUCUCUCUUUUCAAAGAUGCCCCCACCGUUCCAAUCUCCAACUUGUUUGCCUGCCUCAGCCAGUCACACUAUAACGGGUAGUGUGAUUAUUAAAAUGUGCCUC
Long non-coding RNA from Ornithorhynchus anatinus (platypus), 874 nucleotides. RefSeq lists it as uncharacterized. The record is from RefSeq and is a predicted model, not a curated record. Lineage: Eukaryota; Metazoa; Chordata; Mammalia; Monotremata; Ornithorhynchidae. The transcript is spliced from 3 exons.